RNAcentral lists this non-coding RNA (31 nucleotides) under Mus musculus (house mouse). Lineage: Eukaryota; Metazoa; Chordata; Mammalia; Rodentia; Muridae. The record is from RNAcentral.
UNUCAGGCUCCUUUCAGCAUGCACUUCUUGU